This 216-nucleotide ribosomal RNA is filed under the name Glomeromycotina sp. Its description in RNAcentral is "partial small subunit ribosomal RNA". The stretch from base 40 to 216 matches the Rfam family "Eukaryotic small subunit ribosomal RNA", at positions 686 to 864 of the family's 1831-position model. Lineage: Eukaryota; Fungi; Glomeromycota. The record is from RNAcentral.
GGGUCAGUAGGUUGGUCGUGCCACCGGUACGUACUGGUCUCACUGAUUCCUCCUUCCUGAAGAACCGUAAUGCCAUUAAUUUGGUGUUGCGGGGAAACAGGACUGUUACCUUGAAAAAAUUAAAGUGUUUAAAGCAAGCUAACGCUUGAAUACAUUAGCAUGGAAUAAUGAAAUAGGACGAUCGAUCCUAUUUUGUUGGUUUCUAGGAUUGACGUA